This 491-nucleotide ribosomal RNA is filed under the name uncultured bacterium. RNAcentral describes it as "partial 16S ribosomal RNA". It matches the Rfam family "Bacterial small subunit ribosomal RNA", at positions 29 to 507 of the family's 1533-position model. The record is from RNAcentral.
AGUGAACGCUGGCGGUAGGCCUAACACAUGCAAGUCGAACGGCAGCACAGUAAGAGCUUGCUCUUACGGGUGGCGAGUGGCGGACGGGUGAGGAAUACAUCGGAAUCUACUUUUUCGUGGGGGAUAACGUAGGGAAACUUACGCUAAUACCGCAUACGACCUACGGGUGAAAGCAGGGGAUCUUCGGACCUUGCGCGAUUGAAUGAGCCGAUGUCGGAUUAGCUAGUUGGCGGGGUAAAGGCCCACCAAGGCGACGAUCCGUAGCUGGUCUGAGAGGAUGAUCAGCCACACUGGAACUGAGACACGGUCCAGACUCCUACGGGAGGCAGCAGUGGGGAAUAUUGGACAAUGGGCGCAAGCCGAUCCAGCCAUACCGCGUGGGUGAAGAAGGCCUUCGGGUUGUAAAGCCCUUUUGUUGGGAAAGAAAAGCAGCAGGUUAAUACCCCGCUGUUCUGACGGUACCCAAAGAAUAAGCACCGGCUAACUUCGUG